This 366-nucleotide ribosomal RNA is filed under the name uncultured prokaryote. RNAcentral describes it as "partial 16S ribosomal RNA". The record is from RNAcentral.
AAUUCGUGAGUCCGGCAUCCGAGACCGUCGCAUCUGACGAUCCGCAGAUCGUGGCUAAGGAGGGGGUCCGCAACCUGAUACAACGCAAGACGAGAGAAAUCGAUGAGUCAAAGCCUAUUGUCAUGACGAUGACCGUUGGCAGCCAAGCCGGCUACACCUCGCAAGACGUUGCGAAAUAUAUAAGUGUACUCUCACAAUUCCGCAACUUCAAAUUUGUACUCUUUCUGGACAGCGAGGAUAAGUUCCUAGCCUAUAUGCCGUCGUGGGCCUUGAAUCACUUGCGUCAGGUCGAGGAACUUGCGGGGGAAUUUCUGAACGCAAUCAACCUGGGACAGACGGCGCAAGUGCUUCGAUACCCUAGUAGUC